Molecule: ribosomal RNA, 253 nt
Filed under: uncultured bacterium
Lineage: Bacteria
Description: partial 16S ribosomal RNA
Rfam family: Bacterial small subunit ribosomal RNA
Source: RNAcentral
UACGUAGGGGGCGAGCGUUGUCCGGAGUUACUGGGCGUAAAGGGCACGCAGGCGGUGCGGCGCGUUUCGCGUGACAGCGGAGGGCUUAACUCUCCGAGGAUGCGAAAGACGGCGGCACUUGAGGGCCAGAGAGGGACACGGAAUUCCGGGUGGAGUGGUGAAAUGCGUAGAGAUCCGGAGGAACACCGAAGGCGAAGGCAGUGUCCUGGCUGGUGACUGACGCUGAGGUGCGAAAGCUAGGGGAGCGAACAGG